UUGAACGCUGGCGGAAUGCUUUACACAUGCAAGUCGGGCGGCAGCGCGGGGGCAACCCUGGCGGCGAGCGGCGAACGGGUGAGUAACAUAUCGGAACGUACCCAGACGUGGGGGACAACUAGUCGAAAGACUAGCUAAUACCGCAUACGUCCUGAGGGAGAAAGCGGGGGAUCGCAAGACCUCGCGCGUUUGGAGCGGCCGAUAUCUGAUUAGCUAGAUGGUGGGGUAAAGGCCCACCAUGGCGACGAUCAGUAGCUGGUCUGAGAGGAUGAUCAGCCACACUGGAACUGAGACACGGUCCAGACUCCUACGGGAGGCAGCAGUGGGGAAUUUUGGACAAUGGGGGAAACCCUGAUCCAGCCAUUCCGCGUGAGUGAAGAAGGCCUUCGGGUUGUAAAGCUCUUUCAGCAGGAACGAAACGGUCGGCUUUAAUAAAGUCGGCUAAUGACGGUACCUGCAGAAGAAGCACCGGCUAACUACGU
This 482-nucleotide ribosomal RNA is filed under the name uncultured bacterium. RNAcentral's name for it is "bacterial SSU rRNA". It matches the Rfam family "Bacterial small subunit ribosomal RNA", at positions 29 to 506 of the family's 1533-position model. The record is from RNAcentral.